This 252-nucleotide ribosomal RNA is filed under the name uncultured bacterium. Its description in RNAcentral is "partial 16S ribosomal RNA". It matches the Rfam family "Bacterial small subunit ribosomal RNA", at positions 83 to 334 of the family's 1533-position model. The record is from RNAcentral.
CGCAAUGGGUAACCGGCGAACGGGUGCGUAACACGUGAGCGACCUGCCUUUCCGCGGGGGAUAGCCGGCCCAACGGCCGGGUAAUACCGCAUACGCUUCCUUGGGGGCAUCCCUGGGGAAGGAAAACCUCCGGGGCGGAGAGAGGGGCUCGCGACCUAUCAGCUAGUUGGCGGGGUAACGGCCCACCAAGGCGGCGACGGGUAGCUGGUCUGAGAGGAUGAUCAGCCACACGGGGACUGAGACACGGCCCCG